UACAGAGGUCCCGAGCGUUGUUCGGAUUCACUGGGCGUAAAGGGUGCGUAGGUGGUGAGGUAAGUCGGAUGUGAAAUCUCCGGACUCAACCCGGAAAUGGCAUUGGAAACUACCUUGCUGGAGGAUUUGAGGGGGGAUUGGAAUACUUGGUGUAGCAGUGAAAUGCGUAGAUAUCAAGUGGAACACCAGUGGCGAAGGCGAAUCCCUGGAAAAUACCUGACACUGAGGCACGAAAGCUAGGGGAGCAAACAGG
RNAcentral lists this ribosomal RNA (253 nucleotides) under uncultured bacterium. RNAcentral's name for it is "partial 16S ribosomal RNA". It matches the Rfam family "Bacterial small subunit ribosomal RNA", at positions 524 to 776 of the family's 1533-position model. The record is from RNAcentral.